This 186-nucleotide ribosomal RNA is filed under the name Boerhavia erecta. RNAcentral describes it as "partial 28S ribosomal RNA". The record is from RNAcentral. Lineage: Eukaryota; Viridiplantae; Streptophyta; Magnoliopsida; Caryophyllales; Nyctaginaceae.
AAAACGGGUGCCCACAGUGAUGCGCUGCCGCGGCAAUAGUUGGUUGACAAGGCCUCCGGCCGCGUUCCGUCGUGUUGUCCGGGCAAAUCACUGCUCUGGGCUCGCUCGGCCCUGUCCUUCUAAUGUUGCGACCCCAGGUCAGGCGGGACUACCCGCUGAGUUUAAGCAUAUCAAUAAGCCGGAGGA